GACAGAGGGUGCAAUCGUUGUUCGGAUUUACUGGGCGUAAAGCGCGUGUAGGCGGCUUUGCAAGUCGGAUGUGAAAGCCCACGGCUCAACCGUGGAAGUGCAUCCGAAACUGCAUGGCUGGAGUCUCGGAGAGGAAGGUGGAAUGCUUGGUGUAGAGGUGAAAUUCGUAGAUAUCAAGCAGAACACCUGCGGCGAAGGCGGCCUUCUGGACGAUGACUGACGCUGAGACGCGAAAGCGUGGGGAGCAAACAGG
This 253-nucleotide ribosomal RNA is filed under the name uncultured bacterium. Its description in RNAcentral is "partial 16S ribosomal RNA". It matches the Rfam family "Bacterial small subunit ribosomal RNA", at positions 524 to 776 of the family's 1533-position model. The record is from RNAcentral.